GAUGAACGCUGGCGGCGUGCUUAACACAUGCAAGUCGAACGGAAAGGCCCAAGCUUGCUUGGGUACUCGAGUGGCGAACGGGUGAGUAACACGUGGGUGAUCUGCCCUGCACUUCGGGAUAAGCCUGGGAAACUGGGGCUAAUACCGGAUAGGACCACUUCCUGGAUGGUGUGGUGGGAAGAUUUUUCGGUGUGGGAUGAGGUCGCGGCCUAUCAGCGUGUUGGUGGGGUAAUGGCCUACCAAGGCGUCGGCGGGUAGCCGGCCUGGGAGGGGGUACGGCCACCUUUGGGCUUAGAUUCGGCCCCGACUCCUACGGGGGGCAGCCGUGGGGAAUUUUUCCCCAUUGGCGCGAGCCCGAUGCAGCGACGCCGCGUGGCGGAUUACCGCCUUCGGGUUUGAAACUCCUUUCGCUAGGGGCGGAGCGUUUUGUGACGGUACCUGGUGAAGAAGCACCGGCUAACUACGUG
Molecule: ribosomal RNA, 467 nt
Filed under: uncultured bacterium
Lineage: Bacteria
Description: partial 16S ribosomal RNA
Rfam family: Bacterial small subunit ribosomal RNA
Source: RNAcentral